GAUGAAGAACGUAGUGAAAUGCGAUAAGUAGUGUGAAUUGCAGAAUUCAGUGAAUCAUCGAAUCUUUGAACGCACAUUGCGCCCCUUGGUAUUCCAUGGGGCAUGCCUGUUCGAGCGUCAUUUGUACCUUCAAGCUCUGCUUGGUGUUGGGUGUUUGUCUCGCCUCUGCGCGCAGACUCGCCUCAAAACGAUUGGCAGCCGGCGUAUUGAUUUCGGAGCGCAGUACAUCUCGCGCUUUGACAACAAAACGACGACGUCCAAAAAGUACAUUUUUUACACUCUUGACCUCGGAUCAGGUAGGGAUACCCGCUGAACUUAAGCAUAUCAAUAAGCGGAGGA
RNAcentral lists this unclassified non-coding RNA (339 nucleotides) under soil metagenome. RNAcentral describes it as "partial contains 5.8S ribosomal RNA, internal transcribed spacer 2, and large subunit ribosomal RNA". The stretch from base 1 to 120 matches the Rfam family "5.8S ribosomal RNA", at positions 35 to 154 of the family's 154-position model. The record is from RNAcentral.